This is a small nuclear RNA of Carassius carassius (crucian carp), 191 nucleotides long. RefSeq annotates it as U2 spliceosomal RNA. The transcript has a single exon. The record is from RefSeq and is a predicted model, not a curated record. Lineage: Eukaryota; Metazoa; Chordata; Actinopteri; Cypriniformes; Cyprinidae.
AAAAUUCUUACUGCAGUUGUUUGAUGAACUUGUGAAAAACUGGAGCGAGAGGUUUAAUAUCUGAUACGUCCCCCAUCCGGGGACUACAUAUUAAAUGGAUUUUUAGAUCAUGGAGCUGGAGCCGGGGCUUGCUCCGUCCACUCCAAGCAUCGGCCUGGUAUUGCAGUGUCUCCAGGAACGGUGUGCUUUCC